This 320-nucleotide long non-coding RNA is filed under the name Hordeum vulgare. Its description in RNAcentral is "long non-coding RNA (HVUL_LNC020773)". The record is from RNAcentral. Lineage: Eukaryota; Viridiplantae; Streptophyta; Magnoliopsida; Poales; Poaceae.
UGUCACAUACGCAUGCGCGGUUUGGAAUCCACUCACGCAUCGGCAUCACGCCUGAGCUGAUCGAUAAAAGGGAAGGCCUUUGCUCUGAACUCUGACCUUCCCCAUCGAGGCGAGAUUUCUCUUCUCCAUCUUCCAAUCUCCCCUCAUCCUCUCCUUCACCAAUCACCAGCCGCAUCCUUCGACCGGCGUUCCCUGUUCCGAUGGAGGUUGCCUACCCGUUUGACGCCAAGACCGGCAUCAUGUCCGGCGGCGUGAAGCGCGCGCGGGAGAUGGAGAUCCUUCAGCAGCGGUUCCAGGCAGAGCUCGUCGCCGUCCGUGGC